GUUCUCGUGGUUGAAGUUCAACGGCGGUUUUUCAGGCCGCAGAUCUUGGAGAAAAGCCAAGCGGGAACC
This 69-nucleotide transfer RNA is filed under the name Thalassarche chlororhynchos (Atlantic yellow-nosed albatross). RNAcentral's name for it is "tRNA-Glu". The record is from RNAcentral. RNAcentral also lists the same sequence under 1 other name. Lineage: Eukaryota; Metazoa; Chordata; Aves; Procellariiformes; Diomedeidae.